AGCAAUUCUCCCACUUCAGCCUCCAAAGUAGCUGGGACCACAGGAGGGCACUGUAUUGCCAGGUCCCUGGAUGUGGUGUGAAGACUGUUCUCUACAAAACUCUAGAAGGCACGAUUUUCAUCAGAUUCACAGCCAGCGUGGCCAUACGCAGUAAGCCUGUAUUAGAUAGAGACGGUGUCUCCCGUCAGGGCAAAGACUUGGUGCUUUUGGUUGCAUAUACCUUAUAAAAGAUUUGGGUUUCCAAAGAUCAGAAUUCUUUGACUGUGAAACAAACUCACUGUGUG
Homo sapiens (human) is the source of this 284-nucleotide long non-coding RNA. RefSeq lists it as uncharacterized. Lineage: Eukaryota; Metazoa; Chordata; Mammalia; Primates; Hominidae. The record is from RefSeq and is a predicted model, not a curated record. The transcript is spliced from 3 exons.